GCUGCGUCACCGCCGACAACAGCGCCGAGAUUGGAGAAAGGGAAGACACGAGCCGACGGCGAACACUUCCGGAAAUGAUCGAAGUGUCCCCGAAGAGAGACGGGAAAAAACGAAGGCAAGUGGAGCGGCACGAGGAGCCCGCACAUGUUUCUCUGACACAGGAAGUGGCAACAAGGUCUGAAGGGGGAGGAGCUUAAGAAGGAUUAGGUCAGCAGGCUGCAGCUGAUGACAUCAUCACAAAUCCACUUGGCCGUGUCCUGCUGUGGUUCUUCUUCUCUUCCCCUUCAGAGUCCACCAUCAGGACUGCAGACUCCCCAGGAGCACCUUGGCCACAGUCCAGUUCUACCUGCAGCCGUCGCCAUGCCAACCGUCAAGGGCAAGAAGAAGAGGCCCAAGAAGGAGGCAAACGAAGGGGAGGAGCCUGGUGAAGCAGUGGACGAGCAGACGCUGACCCCUGACCUUCUGGAGGCGGCGCCACAGAAGAAGAGGAGGAAGAAGAGGAGCUCUAUGAUUGACCAGGAAGACACGCCCAACGGCAACACCACCAUGGACCAGGACCAGGACCAGGACCAGGACCAGGGUGCCAUGGCCAGGAAGACCAGAAGGAAAAGGAAGGUGAAGUCAUCAGAUCAUUGCACCAACAACCUACAUGAUGACAUCAUCAUGGACACACCCCAACACUCCUCCCCCCAUGGACACGCCCCCCAUGGACACGCCCCCAGAGUCUUUGUGGAGAGGAGCAGGCGCCCCCAGGUGGAGCACACAGACUCAGACUACCUGGAGUCCAGACAGGCGUGGAGCACCAGAGACGUGGCCUUGCAGGUGCACAACAGCUUCAGGGUGCUGGGCCUCUUCUCCCACGGCUUCCUGGCGGGCUGUGCGGCGUGGAACAUGGCGGUGGUCUACGUGCUGGCGGGCGAGCACAUGUCGUCACUGACCAACCUGCUGCAUCAGUACCACUCGCUGGCCUACGCUGCUCAGUCGCUGCUCUACCUGCUGCUCGCCAUCAGCACUGUGUCCGCCUUCGACAGAUGUUUAGUGUUUCCUGUGCAGAGUGAACCUGGCCAAGGCCUCCAUGGCUCUGAGAGGUAUCAUCACCUUGGAUCCUGCAGCUAUGGCAUCGUUUUUGUAUUUCAUGGCACUGAUCCUGGCCCUCAGUCAACAAAUGACCAGCGACCGAAUCAGCCUCUAUCCCUCAGCCAAUCACACGCUGUGGCCUCCUGGUUCUGAGGAGCAGAUCUUGGGACCGUGGAUGGUGGUCAACCUGGUGGUGGCGUUGUUGGUGGGCGUGGCUUGGGCCGUCAUCGCCACAAGGCCGGACAUUGACUACACAGAAGAGUUCCUGAUGUCCAUGGAGGUGGAAGGUUAUCCCAGAGGAGAAGACAACAUUCCUGCCUGAAACAUCGUCCAAGUGUCCUGCAUACCAUUUAUUUCUUUUUUCUACACUUUAAGUCCAAAUAAACACAGCAUCUUCUUUUC
RNA transcript from Nerophis lumbriciformis (worm pipefish), 1479 nucleotides. It is a transcript of the gene named transmembrane protein 237A-like, with no coding region annotated. The record is from RefSeq and is a predicted model, not a curated record. Lineage: Eukaryota; Metazoa; Chordata; Actinopteri; Syngnathiformes; Syngnathidae.